ACCUUUUUAGUAUUACCAGUACAAACGACUUCCAAUCAUUAAGCCUCAGCAUAAGCCUGAGAAAAGGUA
This 69-nucleotide transfer RNA is filed under the name Lepidophyma flavimaculatum (yellow-spotted night lizard). RNAcentral describes it as "tRNA-Gly". Lineage: Eukaryota; Metazoa; Chordata; Lepidosauria; Squamata; Xantusiidae. The record is from RNAcentral.